UCCGUGGUUCAUGAGUUUCCUAACUCUCAUCUCUUUCAAGCACACAUACAAAAUCUGUGAUUAUUCUUCUGAGAAAAGCUGAGUGAUUGAGUCUGUUUAUGGAGAGAGAGAGAGAGAGAGACUUGAGCCUCGAUGAUGCUGCAAAGCCUUUUAAAGCAUUUUGAAAAGGUGAAUAUCUUCAAACCAUUUAUAAAUAUUUCACAUGAAGGUAAAUUUUGUUGGAACCAUUUUUUUUGGGUCGGUUUUCAGUUCUAGUUCAGAUCCACACAUGAACUGUCCGGAUCGUUUGGUACAGAAUCCAAAAACUAUGUUUUUUUCAUUUCAAAUAAGGAGUGCAUUUUGAUUUUAACAACAAUAUUGGCUCUUUGGUAUAUAGUUUCUAAUUAAUAAAGAAUAAAAUAACUCAGAAACAACCCGGUUUCGGAAGAUGCAAAGGUAUUGUUUUCAAAAUUGAAGAAGCUCACUACUAGAAAAUGCCUCCCCUUUCAUAAAAGACGGAUGCAGAAAGGUGAGAAAGAAACAGUAAGAUCAGUACGUAGGUUAUCCAUGGGAUGUGCGGGAAAAGAAACAGUACUAAUGAUCUGGUGUAAGAUAUGCAGCUGAAGCUGAGAAAGAAGUAAAUCUUAAUUAGGGUGUGGGGGGCGGCUAGCUGUUUGAUGCCUGUUUGAUUGAAAAACUUAAUAAUUGUUUGAUGAACAAUGUUCCAAGUGGUUUCGAUCUCUAGCUGUGGAAUCAGUACUUCAUUGAAAAUGGGAACUUCGAUAUGUAAAAUCGUGGUGGGAACUUGUCACAAAAUGUCACAUUGUGACUGCCUGCCAUUCUUGUCCUUGUCUCUACACUUUGUUUGUGCGGACCAAACCAAGAGAGUGAUCAUCUCUCCCAACUUGGACCCUUCGACAUGUAACCUCACACUCUCCCUUUCAUCUCAUCACUCCUUUCAAAGACAUAAUAUUAUUCACUCCACCUCUUCAAUAAUACUUCACACGUGAUAAUUCAGACCAUGGAGAUCUGUGUGCCUCUAUCACUAUCCAUGCCUUUUUGAUUCACAUAUGCAUCCAUUAUUUUUUUCGGUAAUUAUGAGGAAGAACAUAACUCGUGACCUCUUAUCCGUUAAGGUAAACUUUGUGUACUUACAAUCGCUCUAAACCCCAUUUGUAGUUUAAAUUUGAGUGUCGUGAAGCUUUUGAACAUAGGAUUUAUCUGAUUAUACAUAAUGCUAGGACCACUGGUUUCUUAAUAUUUACUCCUGAGGUAGGAGGGCAUGAUUUCCUGUUUAUUAGAUAACUUCCAUAAGACUAGAUGUUUUCUAAUAUGGCACUGCUCUUAGUCGUCUGAACGCUAAACAGUAUUCAAAUUGUCGAGGUCCAAAAAUUAUUUUUACUUAUCAAAUUAAUUUGCCUCUCUUUUCGUUUUGGAGAGGUUUUAAAAAUGCAUCUCCGUACUUUACUACUUUAGAAUCGUCUCAUAAUUUAUAGAUAUGUAGUUUGAAUUUAGUUUUCCAUAUAGUUGCAAUCGUACUUUGAAUUUAUCUUCCUGACUCUAGUAUUUUACAGAGGCUGUUUGGUGUGGACGUCUCUGCACCGGAUAUUGUAAGAGGACGGUCGAUUGGCAGUACAUAGUUCUCUUAUAGUUCUGUGCAGACGUUCACAUGUAAACAGUUUUACACGUAGAAUAUUUUGAAAACCCUUCAUACAUUCGUUACAGAUACAAAUAUAUGAACAGAUACGUGCCGUAUAUGCAUCCACACCAAUAAAAUAUUAUAUUUUUCCUUACGAUUGGAUACACAAAAAUACUUCUGUAUGGACUCACAUUUGUACGACUAGUGAGAUGCAUGAGAACUAGUGAGAUGCAGCUCUAGAGAAAUUUCUGGACAAAAUUCUGAGUGGAUCUCUUGAUUUAAUUUUCGUUUGGAAAUCAAACAAGGGUCAACAGAUCCAAUUAUAGGGAAAUUUAACAUUUGGUCCACCUUAAAUAACAUGUAAGGGGGCAUCAUUAUAUACAAUUAGUUGCUUUGUUUAUUCUUCUUCUUUUUUUUUCUUUUUUUUCAUCAUUGUAUAAAGUUGGUCCUAUUUUGUACAUAAAUUUAUUUCUUGCCAGGCCACUCAUCAUCCCUCAUGUUGAGCAAGAACACGAAAACUUUGUCACAUGGGAAAUUAUGAGUACAUAACAAAACUAUGUCAAUCUGUGGGGUUGUAUAUAUUAAUUAUUGCAUAAAUGUUGCUAAACAGCAAAUGUAAUUCUAGCUAAUUAUGUAUUAUUGUGAUGAUCAUGAUUAUCAAUCAUGAUACUAAUAACAAUGAUGAUGGACGAUGGAAUCAUGAAAUAAA
Molecule: long non-coding RNA, 2327 nt
Organism: Prunus dulcis (almond)
Lineage: Eukaryota; Viridiplantae; Streptophyta; Magnoliopsida; Rosales; Rosaceae
Exons: 2
Source: RefSeq, a predicted model, not a curated record